AGGUUCAGCAGCAGCCAGGUUCUGCUUUGGAUACACUCCCUUUUGAUCUGCCUGAUGUGUUGCAUCUUCUUCAUUCAACCAGCUGUGAUAGUCGCGGUGGCAGUGGUUGUCUCAUUUUGGUACAGAAAAAGAGCAGACUUUCACAGUUUCUCCAGAGUCACAGAUGUUGAGACAGAGGUUUCAAAACUGCCGAGUCCCGAUGGUUCUUAUCAACAAGAAGAUCCGUUUAGUAAAACUGCCUUUCCUCUGAAGAGAUGCACAAACCACGAAAAGCUGCUUGGAGCUCGCCAGCGUGCCCGGUUCCUUCAUCACGUACGCCCGUCAACACUAGCAGAACUAAAGAAAACGCGUGGGAAGAAAAAAAGAGAGACUCUAA
Labrus bergylta (ballan wrasse) is the source of this 376-nucleotide non-coding RNA. Lineage: Eukaryota; Metazoa; Chordata; Actinopteri; Labriformes; Labridae. The record is from RefSeq and is a predicted model, not a curated record.